CAGUCGCCGCGGUAAUACGUAGGUGGCAAGCGUUGUCCGGAAUUAUUGGGCGUAAAGGGCUCGCAGGCGGUUUCUUAAGUCUGAUGUGAAAGCCCCCGGCUCAACCGGGGAGGGUCAUUGGAAACUGGGAAACUUGAGUGCAGAAGAGGAGAGUGGAAUUCCACGUGUAGCGGUGAAAUGCGUAGAGAUGUGGAGGAACACCAGUGGCGAAGGCGACUCUCUGGUCUGUAACUGACGCUGAGGAGCGAAAGCGUGGGAAGCGAACAGGAUUAGAUACCCCUGUAGUCCCUGUCUCUUAUAC
This 301-nucleotide ribosomal RNA is filed under the name uncultured bacterium. Its description in RNAcentral is "partial 16S ribosomal RNA". It matches the Rfam family "Bacterial small subunit ribosomal RNA", at positions 509 to 807 of the family's 1533-position model. The record is from RNAcentral.